Molecule: ribosomal RNA, 440 nt
Filed under: uncultured bacterium
Lineage: Bacteria
Description: partial 16S ribosomal RNA
Rfam family: Bacterial small subunit ribosomal RNA
Source: RNAcentral
CCUACGGGCGGCAGCAGUAGGGAAUAUUGCUCAAUGGGGGAAACCCUGAAGCAGCAACGCCGCGUGGAGGAUGAAGGUUUUCGGAUUGUAAACUCCUUUUGUUAGAGAAGAGAAUGACGGUAUCUAACGAAUAAUCACCGGCUACCUCCGUGCCAGCAGCCGCGGUAAUACGGAGGGUGCAAGCGUUACCCGGAAGCACGGGGCGUAAAGCGCGCGUAUGCGGGAUAGCAAGUCAGAUGUGAAAUCCUAUGGCUUAACCAUAGAACUGCAUUUGAAACUGUUAUUCUAGAGUAUGGGAGAGGUAGGUGGAAUUCUUGGUGUAGGGGUGAAAUCCGUAGAGAUCAAGAGGAAUACUCAUUGCGAAGGCGACCUGCUAGAACAUAACUGACGCUGAUGCGCGAAAGCGUGGGGAGCAAACAGGAUUAGAUACCCGAGUAGUC